This is a long non-coding RNA of Haliotis rubra (blacklip abalone), 346 nucleotides long. RefSeq lists it as uncharacterized. NCBI's taxonomy places the organism in Eukaryota, Metazoa, Mollusca, Gastropoda, Lepetellida, Haliotidae. The record is from RefSeq and is a predicted model, not a curated record. The transcript has 3 exons.
CAAAAAUAUUCACUGAUACAACACAGGUGGGUCACUAGGCUCUCUAACCACCUGGAAUCUCAGGUAACAACACCUGGAAUCUCAGGUAACAACACCUGGGAACUCAGGUAACAACACCUGGAAGCUCAGGUAACAACACCUGGGAACCCAGGUAACAACACCUGGAAGCUCAGGUAACAACACCUGGAAGCUCAGGUAACAACACCUGGGAACUCAGGUGACAACUUCACCCUAAUUGGUAUCCUUUAACCUCUAAUAUUUAUAUUUAUCAUUUAAUUAUGCAGUAUGUCAAAGAUAUUUACAUAUAAUAUGAGCUAGUCUUCUCCAUACAACUGUGAAGUAAGUA